AGCCAAGCGGUAAGGCAACUGACUUGUAAUCAGUAGGUUGGGGGUUCAAGUCCUCUAGUCGGCACCA
RNAcentral lists this transfer RNA (67 nucleotides) under Bacillus anthracis str. A16. RNAcentral's name for it is "tRNA-Thr (TGT) (tRNA-Thr-TGT-3-1)". It matches the Rfam family "tRNA", at positions 9 to 71 of the family's 71-position model. Rfam says of the family: Transfer RNA (tRNA) molecules are approximately 80 nucleotides in length. The record is from RNAcentral. Lineage: Bacteria; Bacillati; Bacillota; Bacilli; Caryophanales; Bacillaceae.